UACGGAAGGUCCGGGCGUUAUCCGGAUUUAUUGGGUUUAAAGGGAGCGUAGGCCGUGGAUUAAGCGUGUUGUGAAAUGCAGGUGCUCAACGUCUGCACUGCAGCGCGAACUGGUCCACUUGAGUGUGCGCAACGCAGGCGGAAUUCGUCGUGUAGCGGUGAAAUGCUUAGAUAUGACGAAGAACUCCGAUUGCGAAGGCAGCUUGCGGGAGCACAACUGACGCUGAAGCUCGAAAGUGCGGGUAUCGAACAGG
Molecule: ribosomal RNA, 253 nt
Filed under: uncultured bacterium
Lineage: Bacteria
Also listed under: 1 other name
Description: partial 16S ribosomal RNA
Rfam family: Bacterial small subunit ribosomal RNA
Source: RNAcentral